RNAcentral lists this long non-coding RNA (5784 nucleotides) under Manduca sexta (tobacco hornworm). RNAcentral describes it as "uncharacterized LOC119193819". The record is from RNAcentral. Lineage: Eukaryota; Metazoa; Arthropoda; Insecta; Lepidoptera; Sphingidae.
UACUGUUAUGUCAUUGUCAAAUAGAUUUUUAUAUCAUAUUCCAUUGCCAAUCUAGUUUUCCUUCUUCACUCACAAAGUAAUUUGCAAAUUCUUCCCUGAUUGUUGUUAACAUAAGUCCACCUCGACGAACACUCCGAGUAGAUUCUGUAAUAGAGUUUGGAAGACCCUCAAAUGUACCUUCGAGUUUGUGUCCAUCUCGUUGCUUUACAUAGUUAUGCAAAACACAUGCUGCUUUAGUUAUAUCUACUGCAAAGUCGACAUCUACGUUAAGUGGUCAAUGGAAUAUGCGCCAUUUAUUAGCAAAUAUACCAAAUGUGCAUUCAAUAUACCGUCUAGCACGUGAUAAUCGAUAGUUGCAAGACUCUUUUUUGCUCUGGCAAAUUGUUUCCUCCGUAAGGGCGCAACAAAUUUUCUUGCAAGCUAAACGCUUCAUCUGCUACAAAUACAUUAGGUAGAACAGGUCCAUUUCGCGAUAUUGAAGAAGGUGCAGGUAUAUUUAAUUUCUUUUCCAGUAAUCUUUUGUAAAAGGUACUCUCUUCGAAAAUAGUCGAGUCUGCAUGCCUUCCAUAUGAACCUACAUCCACGAAAGUAAACAUGUAAUUACUGUCACAUACGGCCAUUAGUAUUAUAGAAAAAUAUUUUUUGUAAUUAUAAUAUGCCGAUCCACUUUCUGCGGGUUUUAUUAUUCUUAUAUGUUUGCCGUCCACUGAUCCAAGGCAGUUCGGAAACUGUGCAUUUUUUAUAAACCCAUUUAUUAUUUCUUUCCAUCUGUCUUCAGUUAAUGGCGCUAUGCACAUAUCUUUCAUAUAUAUCCAUAUAUUUCUACAUACAUCUCUCACUAUACCACCAAUUGUAGUAGCUGCAAUUCUAAAGCUGUAUUGCAAAUCCAUAAAUGUUUGUCCAGUGGCUAAGUAUCUGAAAAGAAUAAUAGCAUUAGUAUUAUUAGGGUUAAAAAUAAAUAUAUAUUAGGGGGGGGAGGGGCUCCCAUACAACAGACAUGAACAUGAUUAAUUAAUGUAUGUAUACUUCAUUGUUACAGCCAUGGCACUACAGAAGAAAUGGAAAGUGUUAAGAGAUGGGUUUAGAAGGUAUGCGAAAAAAAUCAAACCAAAGAGUGAUUCAGCAGCCACCAAGAUACGACCCUACCCAUAUUAUGAGCAGUUAUUAUUUUUAAAGGUCAUUGAGGCUAGACCAGAGAAAUCAGAUAGUUUGAAAGAAACAUGUGAAGAAAGCGAUCAUAAUAAAGAAUCUGCAAAAAAAAAUUUAGUACUUUAAAACGAAAACUAACUAAUAAAACUGAAGACGACCUAAUUGAAAAAUUAUAUAAACGCAUUGAUGAAAAACCCAGUUCAAAGCUUCCAGUAGAGGAUGAUGACAAAAUGUUCUUACUAUCACUAGCUGGAGAGUUCAAAAAUAUUAAAGAUCAAUAUAAAUUAGAUGCCAAGUCAGAAAUCAUCAACCUAAUUAAAUACUUUAAAGGAAUAUCACAGCAUACACAGUCAAGCUAUUAUGGUGAAGGAAUAUCACAGCAUACACAGUCAAGCUAUUAUGGUGAGAGUAGGGGAUAUUUUGCACCUUCAACUAAUGAGCCCGUAGACACAAUUAUUCAAUGAGCAACGUGGAACAACGUGGUUACAACUAUUCAAGUUACAACAAGGGUUAUCAAUCGGCACCUUCUACAAGUGAUCAGCUUUCACCACUAGUCUCAGCUAAUGAUGAGUUUUCUCAAUCAUCCUUUGAAGACAGUCAUCCACCUUCGUCUGUUCGAUCUGAUGAUAUUAUUAGUUGAUAUAUUCAAUGAUUAAAUAAUAAAUGUAGAAAGUUAACAUUUGUUUUUUUACUUACCUUAGUGUUACAGCUAGCCUUUCUUCUGGAGGAAUACUUUUCCUCAUAAUAGUAUCGUCACGUUUAAUUUUUUCCUUGAGUAUAUUACAAAGUUCAUCAAAAGAUGAGAUUGACAUUCUAAAAUAAUUAAAAAACUUUUCUUUGUCAAGUCUUAGUUCCAAAAACAAGUGAUUAAAUUCUCCUUUGGAAUUUCGUGUUUCCAAUAUUGGAUGCACCCACAAUUUUCUUUUUUUACGCCGUCGUCGUCGUCGUAUGAGCAAAAGCAGUAGAAGUGCUUCCUCCUCAAAAUCCAUGAUGCUACUGAUUGAAAUUGCCAACUGCUCGAGCAGUUAGACUAACUGCUCGAGCUGUUAUAAACGGUAGCUACAAGCUGUUGACUCUGACUGCACGAGCGGUCCGUGUAUGUUGAUCACUGGACUACUGCUCGAGCGGCCCGUGUAUGGAGUACCUUAGGUAAGGCGAGGUCUGAAACCAGUUUGUAGGUGGCUUCCGUGAGUGCGCUCAGCAAGAUUGCUCGUCUUUUUUUUCGAGUAGCAAAGAUUUUUCAUCCAUAUCAUUCGCAAUAAACCACUGUGAUAGUCUACUUUUCAUCCUUAUCCGCCAUCCGAAACUCGCAAGGUUUUUUUUUGGGUAUUCGUCGCCACUGUAAAGUAUGCAAUACGGGACUUGAGAAACAAACGCUGGUAGCGCACUGAUUUAUAAGGCAUCGACAUGGGCGAUACUGGCAAAAACUAAGAGAAAUGCAUAAAUAUGUAACGCGACUAAAGCGUAGAUGUGUAGGUGUAUACUAUGCGCUACUAAAAAAAAAUGUCCUAUAUUUUCCUUAUAGUGUAGUGUAGGUGCACUAUAGAUAAUCCACUAAUUAACAUGAAAAUCUACACAACGUCACUUCAACUUCCUACAUAGAAAAUAUAGACGAACACAAUUUAUUGCUGGCGGAUGGCGUUACAUGUGAAUUUGUUAGAAGCUCGCCUUCUUCAAGAGGAAUUCCGCAAGAACGGAGAAUCGCCAGCGCGUGUUGUUUUAAAAUAAUCCUAAAAUGAAGAAAAAGUGUCAUUACUAUAAAAACCUUGGACAUAUUAAAGCAAAGUGAAACUCUUACCAUCUUAGAGGCUCUUAGUAAAGAUGUGACCUACGAUCAAUUGGUUGAAGCGUUGGAAUCGAGAUAUGGUGAUUCUCAUCUGGAACAUGUAUUUCGUGCUCAGUUAAAGGAUCGAGACCAACGCAGCUCCGAAAACCUACAGCAGUGGGCUCUGCCAAACCAAUGACCACUCGUAAACGGAAACUACAAAAAUCUGAAAUAUUAACGAGUACGCCGAUCAAGGAAGACCAAAAGCAGAAAUUUGAUAAAAAUAAAGUUAAGAAGGUUAAUAAAGGACUGAAUGAUAAAUCAACAAAAGUUCCUGUUAAGACUGUUCCUAAGAAAACUAAGACUGACAAGAAUAAGAAAAAAGCUAAACAGCCAAAGAAAAUUAAAAAAUUUAAGGAUAUUUUAUGCUUUUUUUUGCGGCGAAAUUUACAUUGAAGAUGAUAAUCCUAUUGAAAAUUGGAUUCGAUGUGAUAUUUGUCAACAAUGAUGUCACGAAGAAUGUUUCGCAUUCGAUGGCACGGAAGGGUAUAUUUGUGAUAACUGCCAAUCUUAAUUUUCUAAUUAUUUAAGUUCAAGUUAUGUUUUUUUUUUCAGUUUAUUAAGUUUGUUACUCUCGUUUCCAGAGUUAUUAACAUGAGUAUUCACUUUUCCCGAGUACUGUAUCCGCUUUGCCCAAGGGUCCGGGCAAAACGAAUACUUUCGUACAUUUUUGAAUUUUAUUUCCAGUUAAUAUUUGUUUAAUUAUUUAGGUUAAUUGAUGACAGUAUUUGUAAGAGCAAUUAAUAAAGGCCGAUUUGUACUAGUUAUUUUGUUUUUAUACCUUAUACCUUUUCUGCUAAUCUUAAAUAUCUUAAGGUAUCCACUUUGCCCGGCCUUCCCCUACAUGCGGCCGGGUAUAAAAGAAGCGCGCGCGGCCGCGUACGAGUCAACGCGACCGAGAGCGAUAACUGCGAGUGAUAUCGAAGCGAAUACAGUGAAUUGUGUGGCGCGGUGUUUGUGAUUAAGUGAUUUAGUGUUACAGUAGUUCACGUGCUGUUGUGUUUGUGUUAGUGAAGUGUGGUUUUAUUUUAAAGUCUCAUCGGUAUUUACAUAUUCAAUUCUUAUAACAUUCUUUUCAACCAUAUCUUUAAGAAAAUGUACUUGUUUAGGGGGUGCUCUGGUGUAGUGUGUGUGCUAAGAGUCCGGGUUCACACAAUAAAGACACUCUUUCACAUGAAACCAAUAUUUAUUAUUAGCACUAGUAACACUACAGUCCACGGGGGGUAAUCUUCAUACAAGGUUUACGUGGGUUUUAUUAUCUGUGCUCAACUAUAAUGCGUGACAGUUUCUUCCCCUCCUCCCUUCAUACUUCUCGCCAUUUUCGUCCACCGUCGCAUGGGCAACCAUGUUGUUUUUUGUGAUCUGUCAAAUCUCAAUAAUUAUCUGUCAAACGUCAUUACAGUUUUAAAGUUAGUCAAGUGAAGUUUUGCGUUGAUUAAAUUCCGUAACUUAUCCUCCCAGUUUUUGAACCUGCAAUCGUGUUUUGAAACAAUGUUUAAUCAUUGUUGCGUUGAGUACUGUGAUAGUAAACGAAAGGACAUCAACCUUUAUAGGUUUCCAAAAAGUGAAAUAAUGUCCCAAAAGUGGUUGGAAUGUAUUAAUUCGGAUUCAUUGCGAACCUUGAACACUCAAGAUCUUCGCAAGCAGUAUGUGUGUCGAAAACAUUUUGUAAAAACAUUUUUUACCUCGUCGGGUCAGAGAUCUCGUCUACGUAGCGAUGCAUAUCCAACGAUAUUCAAUCAUGGGACUACAAUGAUAAUACCUGAUGAAGCCAAUAAUGUCAAUGAUGAGCAUAAUUAUAUGAAAAAAAGAAGGCACAUGGAUCAUACCUAUUGUAAACCACAUGUAGCAGAGAAACGAAGAAGAAUUGGAGGUGAAAUGUGUACCAUGCCAUCUGCAUCUUAUAUAGAAAAAGUAACUAUUGGGAAACCAACUGUUUCAUCCAUCCACUCUGUAUUGAAACCACGAAGGCAUGCUCUUUUGAUCAAAAAAAGACACACACCUUUGACUUUAAAAAUAUCAAGGGAAUAUAAUUUGUCCAAAAAUGAAGAUAAUUUUAAGAAACGGGCUAAAAGAGCCAUCAAGUUUUCAAGACAUUUAAGUAUAAUUAAAUGCUUAGAAAAACUUAAUCCAUUGGCACAAAAGUUUUUAUGGAUGCAGAUAAAUCUAUGUAAAAAAAAAGCCAGAGGACGUCGAUUCACUGAUGAUGAAAAGUUAUUAGCUAUGUCUAUUAUGAAGAAAAUCCAAAGUGCUAUAAAUUUCUGCAAAAAAUAUUUAUUUUACCAUCAAAAUAUACAUUAAAUAAAAUGAUCACAAAUUUAAAUGUUGAAGCUGGCAUAAAUGAACAAAAUUUUGAAGCUGUAUAGCAAGAGGUAAAUACAUGGGAUGAAAAAAGAAAGUUUUGUUCAAUUAUAUUUGAUGAAAUAUCAUUAGAACCAGCAUUAAUAUAUGAUAAACAUAAAGAUGUUAUAAAUGGAUUUGUGCAUGUUAAUGAAAAAAAAAGUGAAUUUGCUGACCAUGCUCUAGUGUUCAUGCUGCGGGGAGCAAUUCAUAAGUGGCAACAACCUGUUGCCUUUUAUUUCUGUAAAGGAGCAACCUCUGCUGGCUGCUUAAAAAAUAUUCUAAAAGAAAUGGUAACUGCUGUUAUUGACACUGGACUUUUACCUAUCACUUUAGUAUGUGAUCAGGGAAGUAAUUUCCAGUCUGCUCUAAAAAGCCUCCAACAAGAUGUCUAUAGGGAACAACUCAGAAUAGGUGAAAAGAUUGGUAAGUUAGAAUAGACAUUUCAUUUUAAAUAUUAAGUUAUAAAA